GACGAACGCUGGCGGCGUGCUUAACACAUGCAAGUCGAACGGAAAGGCCCUGCUUUUGUGGGGUGCUCGAGUGGCGAACGGGUGAGUAACACGUGAGUAAUCUGCCCUUGGCUUUGGGAUAACUUCAGGAAACUGGGGCUAAUACCGGAUAGGAGCUCCUGCUGCAUGGUGGGGGUUGGAAAGUUUCGGCGGUUGGGGAUGGACUCGCGGCUUAUCAGCUUGUUGGUGGGGUAGUGGCUUACCAAGGCUUUGACGGGUAGCCGGCCUGAGAGGGUGACCGGCCACAUUGGGACUGAGAUACGGCCCAGACUCCUACGGGAGGCAGCAGUGGGGAAUAUUGCACAAUGGGCGGAAGCCUGAUGCAGCAACGCCGCGUGCGGGAUGACGGCCUUCGGGUUGUAAACCGCUUUCGCCUGUGACGAAGCGUGAGUGACGGUAAUGGGUAAAGAAGCACCGGCUAACUACGUG
This 468-nucleotide ribosomal RNA is filed under the name uncultured bacterium. RNAcentral describes it as "partial 16S ribosomal RNA". It matches the Rfam family "Bacterial small subunit ribosomal RNA", at positions 28 to 507 of the family's 1533-position model. The record is from RNAcentral.